UAAUACGUAGGGUGCGAGCGUUGUCCGGAAUUACUGGGCGUAAAGGGCUCGUAGGUGGUUUGUCGCGUCGUCUGUGAAAUUCUGGGGCUUAACUCCGGGCGUGCAGGCGAUACGGGCAUAACUUGAGUGCUGUAGGGGUAACUGGAAUUCCUGGUGUAGCGGUGAAAUGCGCAGAUAUCAGGAGGAACACCGAUGGCGAAGGCAGGUUACUGGGCAGUUACUGACGCUGAGGAGCGAAAGCAUGGGUAGCGAACAGGAUUAGAUACCCUGGUAGUCCAUGCCGUAAACGGUGGGCGCUAGGUGUGAGGGUCUUUCUACGACUUUCGUGCCGUAGCUAACGCAUUAAGCGCCCCGCCUGGGGAGUACGGCCGCAAGGCUA
RNAcentral lists this ribosomal RNA (379 nucleotides) under uncultured bacterium. RNAcentral describes it as "bacterial SSU rRNA". It matches the Rfam family "Bacterial small subunit ribosomal RNA", at positions 521 to 896 of the family's 1533-position model. RNAcentral also lists the same sequence under 1 other name. The record is from RNAcentral.